Molecule: long non-coding RNA, 102 nt
Organism: Maniola jurtina (meadow brown)
Lineage: Eukaryota; Metazoa; Arthropoda; Insecta; Lepidoptera; Nymphalidae
Exons: 3
Source: RefSeq, a predicted model, not a curated record
GAGAGAGCCCUUCGUUAUUUUAUAAAAGCUGAAAGUUUCUCUGCGUAUUGUCCCCAAACACAGGGAGAAAAGAUCAGCUACUAUGAAGUUUCGAUCAUGGUG